UGUAUAACAACAUAAUAUUGAGGCUUUAUAUACGCAUUCACCCAAACUAGUUUUAUUUGAACUCAAAAAGUAAAAUCCAAGAAUAAUUCUAAUUACUACUCGAUUUAGAAAACUAUCAAAAUAAUAAUUAAAAAGACAUAAACAAAGUAGAAUAAGAAAUGUUCUCUCUUGACAAGUGGUGGUGAUUUGGCCAAAUUCUCUAUGAU
RNAcentral lists this long non-coding RNA (206 nucleotides) under Carica papaya (papaya). RNAcentral's name for it is "long non-coding RNA (CPAP_LNC013269)". Lineage: Eukaryota; Viridiplantae; Streptophyta; Magnoliopsida; Brassicales; Caricaceae. The record is from RNAcentral.